This 2037-nucleotide long non-coding RNA is filed under the name Helianthus annuus (common sunflower). RNAcentral's name for it is "hypothetical non coding rna". Lineage: Eukaryota; Viridiplantae; Streptophyta; Magnoliopsida; Asterales; Asteraceae. The record is from RNAcentral.
AAAGAAAAGGGUUCUUUCAAAAACCCUUAAAACCCACAAAAUUCAACAAAAUUGAAGAAGAAUCAAGUUAAAAACUGGGGCUUUAACUAAUUUCGUGAUCACCCAAGCUAGGAGAUCACAAGGUAUGUUGAAUUUUGUUCUUUGUUUGACGCUUGACAACCUAGGUGGAGGCUUGGGAAAGAAGCGGGUCAAACGGAUCGAGUAUGAGGAAAAAGAGCGUAAUCGGAUGCAAGGUAAGUAAAAGCUUACACCCUUAUCGUAAGAUAUGUAUUUAUUUAUAGAUUAUAAAUGCGACAAGGUUAUAUUCAAAAUACGAUUUGACACGAAAUGAUACGGGUCGGAACGUAUCAAAAGAUGAAAAACCAUGUUUAAUGGUAAAAAUGGGUGAAAUGGUAAUAUGGUCAUGAGAUGACAUAAAUAAAAAGAGAUUUUGAAUGGCUACUUCUAAGUAAGCCUAAACAAAUAAAAAGGGGUAAAAUGGUGAUUUAGUAAAAAAAAAAAUGGAUCAAAGUUGAAGUUUAAAACGACACCAAGUGGCAUGAGCCAUAUUGGGCAAUCGUGUAAGAAACAGAUUUAAGAGACCCAAUUAAUUGGUUAAAAAAAAUCCAAAAUGAGUUACUUAACGAAAUGGUAAAUAAAUACCAUUCAAAUAAAAGCGCAAAAAUGUUUGGUCGUUUAGACCAAACGGGUCAAACGGUAAUGUUGAUACCGUUUGACAUUUAACGACUAAUAAGUGUUUGUGGAGUUUUUAUGCACACAGGAUAAAACGGCUUAUGAAUUAGCGAUGCUAUGAAUUAGCAAUUAUUGAAACAAGGUAUUAAAACGGGUCAAUAUGUUGAUCCGAGCCAGGUACGCAUAAAUAAGUUUAUAGUUAAAAUUGCGAUUUUGGUCAAAUAAUUAGUGAAAGUCCUUCAUCGUAAAAUGAGGGACUAGCAUUGACCAAAAAGCCCUUGAGGGGAAAACUGGGUAAACGAUCCUUAGAGGUUGUUUAGGAAGUCAUAUCAUGAUUGUGUAAUCCUUAGAUAUGUAGGAAAGUUAUAGGCAUAAACAUUCGUGGGUCGAAUGCUUAAAAUGGGUCAUUUACGCAAAAUGACUAACCGAAAGGAAAGAUUGGGGGUAAUGGGUUCAUUAUGUUAAAUCCACCACAAAAGUAGUUGUGCUGGUUUAUAAUUAGUUAUUUAGAUAUGGGAAUGCAAAGUGUAAAAGGGGAAGAGCGAGUUAAUGCUUAAAUGCACAAAAUCCCCUAAACGGGUCAAAUGGAUUUAUGCGCAUCGCUUAUGAAUUAGACGCGUAAUUCAUAAAACAAAAAUUUCGAACCCGAGCUAUGAAUUUUGUGUUAAUUACAUUGGCUUAUGUAAUUGGAUUAUUUAGAAACAAAUUGGUGAUUUUAAACUUGAACGGGUCAAAAGUCCUUAUAAAUCAAUUUCAAGCCGAGAGCUUGAAAUCUAAUAUCUUAUGAGUCCAGAUGCCGGACUUUAACUCCAAGUGAUGGAGAAUUAAAUUAUGAUCGCAUAGGAAAAAGAAUUGUGUAAAACGGACGUACGAAACGAAAGUUAUGAGACUUGAAGUUGAAUUUUUAAGAAAAAUGGUGCUGGGCAGAAAAUACAGGUUUCAGUAAUGAACCCGCCGGAAAUUUGGUUCCCCCGCGACACGCGACGGAGGACUUAGUUUGGGGCGCGAUACGCGACGAUCGUCGCGAUACGCGAAAGAACAUAUGAACGCCGUCGCGACACGCGACGGCUUAAAAUCUGGAAAUUGUUGCUGAACUUUUUGUUGGCUUAUUUUUGACCCACAAACUGGCUCGAACAUGUUUUUAAACGAAAAAUGACUAACUCAUUUCAUGUUUUAUGAAAUGUAGGUAUAUUGUACAUUAACGGAGGACGAUCAAACUCGAAGGAACGAACCGUACACACAUUAAAUGAAGCUUCCGCAGAUGUUUUAAUUUGUUUUAUCAAAAGUGGAUUUAUGAAAACACAUUCAAGUAUGUUUUGGAAUGUUGUAAAUAUGUUUAAUUACUUAUAAUGUAAAAGUUUUUGU